UAAGGCCUCCAUCUUGGAGGAUGGGGGCGAACCGGGGACCGAGACAGUGUGGACACCCGAGUUUUUCUAAAGUUAGCGAGAACGCUACGGCCACACCGGAAGCUGGGCGCGAGACUGUCCUCCAAAAUAAGAGGAGAGUCAAAAGUCUUGCGCUCUCAAAAAGCAUUAGCCUUGUACUUCCUGCUCCGUGUGGCCUGCUAGGUUUCUUCGAGUGUAAACGCUUUAAAAGUGGCACACCAACUAACUGGGUCAUGUUUGUGAGUGGAGGACCAAACGGGGCCCAGCGCGUCUCGUACACGCGGUUCAGGAGGCGGAUCAUCCGGAAGAGUGGCAGCGAGGAUCCAGCUGCAAGUACGCCACUGGCCACUUGGCGGCAGCGUGAGCCAAGCUUUGAGCUUGACGCGGUGCGCCAGAGGCUGCAGCUGGAUUCUCCACCGAGACACGGUGAACCAGCACGGAGAGGCCCGCGCCAAGAGACGGCAAACGUAUCACGCUCCUUCACUGCCGGGAGACGGUCCGCCACGGAAAAAAAACCACAACAGGGAUGGGUGUGGAGAGCUGCAGUUCCAGAACAUGGAGGUCGACGACCGGACGGUUCUGAUGAGAGAAGACGUGCUGUGCAGCCGUUUGCUCUCUUGGACAAAACUAGCAUGAGUCAGCGGGGAGAGUCAGUGAUGAAUUUGGCGGCACCGUCACUCCUCAACGACUACUACACUAAUCUGCUCGACUGCAGUUGCAACGGCGUGAUUGCAUUGGCACUGGGCUCUUCCGUCCACCUUUGGAAUUCAGAAACCCGCGCCCUGGUGGGGUCUUUGGACACGAGUCCGCAACCGGGACGGGCACGCCAUCGGAUGCCCACCGUCUCCUGCCUGAGCUGGAGCAGGGACGGCAGCGCUCUCUGCGUCGGGACCCGGGGAGGGGAGAUACAGCUGUGGGAUGUUGAACACAAGCGGAACAUGAGCUGUCUGCCGUCACACCUGUCUGUGGUCAGAGGGCUUUCCUGGAAACAGCAGUUACUCAGCAGCGGCUCUGCUCUCGGACGCAUCCAUCACAUUGACCCUCGGGCUCCUACGCCCCUGGUGGGUGCUGCCGUACAGGAGGACGGGGUCUGCGGCCUCCAGUGGUCGCCGGGAGGUGACUGGCUGGCCAGCGGCUCCACAGAGGGCCUGCUCCGUAUUUGGGGCGGUGGCAUCGCCGGGGUCAUGCGGUCACGUCAGCCAAUCGCCACGAUGAGACAGCCCAGCGCUGUUAAAGCAAUGGGUUGGUGUCCAUGGCAGAGAAAGAUAAUCGCCACUGGAGGCGGAUGGAACGAUGGAGAGCUGAGAGUCUGGGACACAGAUUUGGGGACUUGCGUGACUUCUGCCAAAACCAAUUCUCAGAUCUGUUCUCUGCGCUGGGCCGAGAAGAAGAAAUGUCUGGUCACAGGUCACGGUCUUCCUCAUCACCAGGUCAACUGCUGGUCUUGGGAGUUCCCCUCCCUCAGUCCCGUCUGCCAGCUGUCAGGUCAGAGGGCCUGAAGCCUGAUGCGUGCACAGCGACAUCCCUCAACACAUUCACGACAGCCUCACGUAGGAAUAAAUGUCAUUCUCAUCGAGUCCUGCACUUGGCCGUAAACCCCGACGGCACUCAGAUUUUCUCUGCUGGGGCGGACCAGCGGUUUCACAUCUGGGACACGUAAUUACGCAACAUCACUGAACAUGGAAGGUGAAUGUGGGUUACCUGUGAGAAGCUAACACUUCUUGGUCAUGUCAUUGUGUUCCUGUCCCCUGCUCUGAGCUCACCACCAUGAGAAGCUAACAAACCAGUCAAACUUAUUGUCAUGCCAAGAUGGUUAAUUUCAGGGCUAAAUGUCACAUUCAAAAGUUGCUCAGAUUUACACAGUACAUUCCUUUUAUUUCGUUUUUUAGCUACGGAUAAGUUUAAGUUGUUGGUUUUUGGUGACUGAAAUAUGCAUAACAGCCCCUUAAUGUGAGGAAAGUACAUGAAAUACUCAGACUGGCAGAGUGGCUUGGACUGUCUGCAGAAUAGUAAUAAUGAUAAUAAUUCUAACAAUGAUUUUAUUUCUAUACCAAGAAGCAGAAAGUGCUUUCCUGUGCACGGAGACAGCAUAAAAACACAAUCACGCCUUUAAAAUCAACAGCAUUAGGCAGCUCCAUAUAAAACAAUCUGAAAACGAUGUAAACAAAUAUGUCUGGUCAGACAAGAAGGCGUAAUCCACCACAAAUGUGUUUUUAAGGUUUUCAGAGCCAGAAGAAGCUCGGAUAACAACACACAGAGGGAGAGCGACUUCCUUCUCUGCUCGGUGAGACAUUACCCAACUAUAUCUUUACAGAGCAACUCAUUGUUUGCCGCAAUAUGGAUACUCUGAAUCCUGUAUAUUGCACUGUAACAGGUUCGAGUCUCGGGCAGGCACCAAAGAGGCAACACACACACAAUUGUGAGGGCAGUAACCGUUUUUAUUUAUUUGUCACGCUUCUGGUAGCGACC
This is an RNA transcript of Cyclopterus lumpus (lumpfish), 2487 nucleotides long. It is a transcript of the gene named cell division cycle protein 20 homolog B-like, with no coding region annotated. Lineage: Eukaryota; Metazoa; Chordata; Actinopteri; Perciformes; Cyclopteridae. The record is from RefSeq and is a predicted model, not a curated record. The transcript has 11 exons.